Molecule: ribosomal RNA, 459 nt
Filed under: uncultured bacterium
Lineage: Bacteria
Description: partial 16S ribosomal RNA
Rfam family: Bacterial small subunit ribosomal RNA
Source: RNAcentral
CCUACGGGAGGCAGCAGUGAGGAAUAUUGGUCAAUGGUCGGGAGACUGAACCAGCCAAGCCGCGUGAGGGAGGAAGGUACAGAGUAUCGUAAACCUCUUUUGUCAGGGAACAAAGGCGGGGACGUGUCCUCGGAUGAGUGUACCUGAAGAAAAAGCAUCGGCAAACUCCGUGCCAGAAGCCGCGGGAAUAGGGAGGAUGCGAGCGUUAUCCGGAUUUAUUGGGGUAAAAGGGAGGCAAGGGGGACUGUAAAGUCAGCGGGAAAAGCCCGGGGCUCAACCCCGGCCCGCCGUUGAAACUGGCAGUCUCGAGUUGGAGAGAGGUAUGCGGAAUGCGCGGUGUAGCGGUGAAAUGCAUAGAUAUCGGGCAGAACUCCGAUUGCGAAGGCAGCAUGCCGGAUCCACACUGACGCUGAGGCACGAAAGCGUGGGUAUCGAACAGGAUUAGAUACCCGAGUAGUC